AUUCAGGAAAAGGAUUUUAGUCCUACCUUAAGUUUUUUUAUAAACAAUAUUACACCUAAAGACUUAAGAGCUAUUCAAAUAAGGUACAGCCUAUUUGAAGCAGGAAACAACCUACAACACUGGGUAAUUUUACCUAAGCAAGUGACCAAGUGGGCCUAAAAGCAGCCACCUUUUAAAAAGCGUUAAAGCUUAACCACAAUGCUUUCUAAUUUCCUCAAAACCCAAAAACCCUUAAUCACUACUGAAUGAAUCCAUAACCUUAUGGAUUACCUCAUGCUAGAACUAGUAAUAAGAAGAAGAACUUCUCCUAAAUGCAAGCGUAAGCCGAAACGAACCACUCCCCGGCAAUCAUCGUCUUUGAGCCACUAGUAGUAACAAACCUAGAAAAACCUACUCAUCUCAAUCUUACGUCAACCUUACACCAGAGCAUUUCAGGAAAGAUUAAAAAAAGAGGAAGGAACUCGGCAAAUCAUCAACCCCGCCUGUUUACCAAAAACAUCGCCUCCUGCUACACAUAGGAGGUCCAGCCUGCCCAGUGACCAAGUUAAACGGCCGCGGUACCCUAACCGUGCGAAGGUAGCGCAAUCACUUGUUCUUUAAAUGAGGACUAGUAUGAACGGCAUCACGAGGGUUACACUGUCUCCCCCCUUUAAUCAAUGAAACUGAUCUCCCCGUGAAGAAGCGGGGAUAAAUAUAUAAGACGAGAAGACCCCAUGGAGCUUUAAACCCAGCAUCAACUGCCCAAACUACACCAUAUAAAACAAGCAGAUUCUGAUCCCUGGUUUUCGGUUGGGGUGACCACGGAGCAAAACAAAACCUCCACGACGAAAGGAACACCUUCCUAAUCAAAGAGCUACAACUCAAUGAAUCAACAAAUUGACAUAACUGAUCCAAAUUAUUUUGAUCAACGAACCAAGUUACCCUGGGGAUAACAGCGCAAUCCAUUUCAAGAGCUCCUAUCGACAAAUGGGUUUACGACCUCGAUGUUGGAUCAGGGUAUCCCAGUGGUGCAGCCGCUACUAAAGGUUCGUUUGUUCAACGAUUAAAACCCU
Molecule: ribosomal RNA, 1052 nt
Filed under: Ctenophryne aequatorialis (Cuenca Nelson frog)
Lineage: Eukaryota; Metazoa; Chordata; Amphibia; Anura; Microhylidae
Description: partial 16S ribosomal RNA
Rfam family: Bacterial large subunit ribosomal RNA
Source: RNAcentral